Molecule: ribosomal RNA, 215 nt
Filed under: uncultured Desulfobulbus sp.
Lineage: Bacteria; Pseudomonadati; Thermodesulfobacteriota; Desulfobulbia; Desulfobulbales; Desulfobulbaceae
Description: partial 16S ribosomal RNA
Rfam family: Bacterial small subunit ribosomal RNA
Source: RNAcentral
AAGGUGGGGAUGACGUCAAGUCCUCAUGGCCUUUAUGACCCAGGGCUACACACGUACUACAAUGGCCGAUACAAAAGGGCAGCGACACUGCGAGGUGAAGCCAAUCCCGUAAAAUCGGUCUCAGUCCGGAUUGGAGUCUGCAACUCGACUCCAUGAAGUUGGAAUCGCUAGUAAUCGUGGAUCAGCAUGCCACGGUGAAUACGUUCCCGGGCCUU